RNAcentral lists this transfer RNA (70 nucleotides) under Coquillettidia chrysonotum. Its description in RNAcentral is "tRNA-Trp". The record is from RNAcentral. Lineage: Eukaryota; Metazoa; Arthropoda; Insecta; Diptera; Culicidae.
AAGAACUUAAGUUAAAUAAACUUUUAACCUUCAAAGUUAAAUAUAAUUGUAAUAAAUCUUUUAGUUCUUA